CCUACGGGCGGCAGCAGUGGGGAAUAUUGCGCAAUGGGCGAAAGCCUGACGCAGCGACGCCGCGUGAGGGAUGAAGGUCUUCGGAUCGUAAACCUCUGUUAGCAGGGAAGAACGGUCACUGUGCUAAUCAUCAGUGAAUUGACGGUACCUGCAAAGGAAGCACCGGCUAACUCCGUGCCAGCAGCCGCGGUAAUACGGAGGGUGCGAGCGUUAAUCGGAAUUACUGGGCGUAAAGCGCUCGUAGGCGGUAUGUCAAGUCAAGGGUGAAAUCCCCGCGCUCAACGUGGGAACUGCCUUUGAAACUGGCAAACUGGAGUGUGUGAGAGGAUAGUGGAAUUCCAGGUGUAGGAGUGAAAUCCGUAGAUAUCUGGAGGAACAUCAGUGGCGAAGGCGACUAUCUGGAACAUAACUGACGCUGAGGAGCGAAAGCGUGGGUAGCAAACAGGAUUAGAUACCCCAGUAGUC
This 465-nucleotide ribosomal RNA is filed under the name uncultured bacterium. Its description in RNAcentral is "partial 16S ribosomal RNA". It matches the Rfam family "Bacterial small subunit ribosomal RNA", at positions 338 to 795 of the family's 1533-position model. The record is from RNAcentral.